Molecule: ribosomal RNA, 428 nt
Filed under: Chloroflexota bacterium
Lineage: Bacteria; Bacillati; Chloroflexota
Description: Chloroflexi bacterium partial 16S ribosomal RNA
Rfam family: Bacterial small subunit ribosomal RNA
Source: RNAcentral
UGGGGAAUAUUGCACAAUGGGCGCAAGCCUGAUGCAGCCAUGCCGCGUGUAUGAAGAAGGCCUUCGGGUUGUAAGUACUUUCAGUCGGGAGGAAGGUGGUAAGGUUAAUAACCUUGGCAAUUGACGUUACCCGCAGAAGAAGCACCGGCUAACUCCGUGCCAGCAGCCGCGGUAAUACGGAGGGUGCAAGCGUUAAUCGGAAUUACUGGGCGUAAAGCGCACGCAGGCGGUUUGUUAAGUCAGAUGUGAAAUCCCCGGGCUCAACCUGGGAACUGCAUCUGAUACUGGCAAGCUUGAGUCUCGUAGAGGGGGGUAGAAUUCCAGGUGUAGCGGUGAAAUGCGUAGAGAUCUGGAGGAAUACCGGUGGCGAAGGCGGCCCCCUGGACGAAGACUGACGCUCAGGUGCGAAAGCGUGGGGAGCAAACAGG